CCUACGGGAGGCAGCAGUGAGGAAUAUUGGUCAAUGGGCGCUAGCCUGAACCAGCCAAGUCGCGUGAAGGAUGACUGCCCUAUGGGUUGUAAACUUCUUUUAUAUGGGAAUAAAGUGCAGUAUGUAUACUGAUUUGCAUGUACCUUAUGAAUAAGGAUCGGAUAACUCCGUGCCAGCAGCCGCGGUAAUACGGAGGAUCCGGGCGUUAUCCGGAUUUAUUGGGUUUAAAGGGGGCGUAGGCGGGUUUGUAAGUCAGUUGUGAAAGUUUGCGGCUUAACCGUAAAAUUGCAGUUGAUACUGGCAGCCUUGAGUACGGUAGAGGUAUGCGGAAUGCGUGGUGUAGCGGUGAAAUGCUUAGAUAUCACGAAGAACGCCGAUUGCGAAGGCAGCCUGCUGGACUGUAACUGACGCUGAGGCACGAAAGUGUGGGGAUCAAACAGGAUUAGAUACCCGAGUAGUC
Molecule: ribosomal RNA, 460 nt
Filed under: uncultured bacterium
Lineage: Bacteria
Description: partial 16S ribosomal RNA
Rfam family: Bacterial small subunit ribosomal RNA
Source: RNAcentral